Molecule: ribosomal RNA, 117 nt
Filed under: Salmo salar (Atlantic salmon)
Lineage: Eukaryota; Metazoa; Chordata; Actinopteri; Salmoniformes; Salmonidae
Source: RNAcentral
GCUACGGCCAUAUCAGCCUGGGUCGCCCGAUCUCGUCUGAUCUCGGAAGCUAAGCAGGGUCGGGCCUGGCUAGUACUUGGAUGGGAGACGGCCUGGGAAUACCAGGUGCUGUAAGCA